Molecule: small nuclear RNA, 160 nt
Filed under: Gopherus agassizii (Agassiz's desert tortoise)
Lineage: Eukaryota; Metazoa; Chordata; Testudines; Testudinidae
Description: U4 spliceosomal RNA (ENSGAGG00000011927.1)
Rfam family: U4 spliceosomal RNA (bases 15-93)
Source: RNAcentral
AAGGGGGUGUAUUAGGUAGUAUCAUAACCAAUGAAGUUAAUCUGAGGUGUGAUUAUUGCUAGUUGAAAUCUUUUCUGGCUAAUUCCUCCCCUCCCCCCAUCCCUACCCACCUCCCUAACCCAGUGCAGGAAUAAUAUUCAUUUGUUUAUAUGCUGAAACA